RNAcentral lists this ribosomal RNA (503 nucleotides) under uncultured Pseudomonadota bacterium. RNAcentral describes it as "bacterial SSU rRNA". It matches the Rfam family "Bacterial small subunit ribosomal RNA", at positions 355 to 849 of the family's 1533-position model. The record is from RNAcentral. Lineage: Bacteria; Pseudomonadati; Pseudomonadota.
UGGGGAAUAUUGGACAAUGGGCGCAAGCCUGAUCCAGCCAUGCCGCGUGUGUGAAGAAGGCCUUCGGGUUGUAAAGCACUUUUGUACGGGAAGAAAAGCCAUUGGUUAAUACCCGGUGGUCCUGACGGUACCGUAAGAAUAAGCACCGGCUAACUUCGUGCCAGCAGCCGCGGUAAUACGAAGGGUGCAAGCGUUACUCGGAAUUACUGGGCGUAAAGCGUGCGUAGGUGGUUUGUUAAGUCUGAUGUGAAAGCCCUGGGCUCAACCUGGGAAUGGCAUUGGAUACUGGCAGUCUAGAGUGCGGUAGAGGGUAGCGGAAUUCCCGGUGUAGCAGUGAAAUGCGUAGAUAUCGGGAGGAACAUCCGUGGCGAAGGCGGCUACCUGGGCCAGCACUGACACUGAGGCACGAAAGCGUGGGGAGCAAACAGGAUUAGAUACCCUGGUAGUCCACGCCCUAAACGAUGCGAACUGGAUGUUGGGGACACUUAGGUCUUCAGUAUACG